GAUGAACGCUAGCGGCAGGCUUAAUACAUGCAAGUCGAGGGGUAACAUGGUAGCAAUACUGAUGACGACCGGCAAACGGGUGCGGAACACGUACAGAACCUUCCUUUAAGCGGGGGAUAGCCCAUAGAAAUGUGGAUUAAUACCCCAUAGCAAUAUUUAAUGGCAUCAUUAGAUAUUUAAAGAUUUAUCACUUAAAGAUGGCUGUGCGGCUGAUUAGGUAGUUGGGCGGGUAACGGCCCACCAAGCCAGCGAUCAGUAACUGGUGUGAGAGCACGACCAGUCACACGGGCACUGAGACACGGGCCCGACUCCUACGGGAGGCAGCAGUAAGGAAUAUUGGUCAAUGGACGCAAGUCUGAACCAGCCAUGCCGCGUGAAGGAUGAAGGCCCUCUGGGUUGUAAACUUCCUUUAUCUGGGAAGAAUCCUAUUUUUCUAAGUGGUUGACGGUACAGACGAAUAAGCACCGGCUAACUCCGUGCCAGCAGCCGCGGUAAG
This 496-nucleotide ribosomal RNA is filed under the name uncultured bacterium. RNAcentral describes it as "bacterial SSU rRNA". It matches the Rfam family "Bacterial small subunit ribosomal RNA", at positions 28 to 524 of the family's 1533-position model. The record is from RNAcentral.